AGACGUCGACCACCGCCACCAUCAUCGUUGCUGGUGUUGCACCUAAGAUGACGUAUGUAUUCUUUACUGCUUUCGAUGCAUACAACAAUUGUAUUAAUUGCUUUAAAUAACUGUAAUUAUUUAAAUUAAUUCAUAGUUUUAAGUUAACUUUGUAAAUAUGCAGAUUUGCUGAGGGAACUGAGACCAGCUUUGUUGCCGAAAGUGGAAAUGGAUGCAAGUGUGGAUCAAGCUGCAGCUGCGAUCCAUGCAACUGUUAAGCACAGAAUAUAUCUCGACCCAAAUAAGAACUUAUGUUUGAAUUGAACUGAUUUACUCUUUAUGUUGUUUUGUGUUUUCAUGUAAUAAAUAAAGAAGAAACCUAUGUGGUAUUAAGGUAUUUGGAUUUGUAAUGGAUUUCCAUCGUUAAUAUCUAUUCGUGUAAAGUCAACGCUUUGAAAAAUCACUUGUUUGGGUCUUAAUUUAUAAAAGCUUGAUGUAUAUUUGUAUGAAUGAGAUUGUAUGCUAUAAAAUUGAAAAGAUUGAUGUAUAAUUUAAUAAAUAUUGAUAUUGUUUGUUGUAAAAAUGAUGUUAUGGUUGUUGACUUUAAAGCUAGAAUACCUCAAUAACGUGUAAAGUGUGUAAACAAUAUAUAAUACAAAUUACUAAUUUCUCAUGACUAGACGAUUAUAAGUUUUGUGGAUUAAUGCAACUAAGAAUAUGUUUGGCGUAGCAGCUGAAAAGUUAGUCGUUAAAUAAAAAGUUGUUGGUGAUUUGUUUCACUAAUGUGAUUUAAGUGUAAUGAGAUUAUUUUUGUUGAUCAAAAGUGAUCUUGAUAAAUAUUAAACAAGUAAGGAAUGUGUGGAGUGCACACUUGUUUAAGUUUAUUCAAGAUUAAAAGUAGACUGUCAUUUAGGGGCGAAGCCCUUGAAUGAACGGGGGUCCGGGGGCAGCGCCCCUNGGAGCGGUCUCCAAGGGGUGGCAGCCGUGGGCGGGGUCCAAGGGGCAGAGCCCCUGGCUGGGAAUUGCUGUAUUGAAAAUGCAUCAGAAAUCCAAAUUUAGAAUAUUUGACCCGUUUUUGACUUGGUAUUAAUUCUUAUAGAAAACCCGGAUUUAUGACAGUUUGUUGACUGUUGCCAAACUGUUUUAUGACAGUUUUGACAGUUUUCAGACAAAGAAUGUAUUUAACCGAUUUUGGUCAGUUUUUUCUGGUACUUACGAAAAUUCAUAUAUUCAUUCUCUGUUCUUUUCUCUUCUGAGUCUUAUCUAAUCAAAGAUUAGGGAGUACCACUCAAUACUUUGAUUUGAUAGUGAAAUCACAAUUCUCAAAAUUUCCAAGGCUAUUUUAUCCUUAUUAUCUUACAAAAAUCAAAGUAUUCUGUGAUCAUGGCAAGUGGUGAUUCUGUGAAGGAAAUGACUAGUAAGUUUGAAAAACUGAACAAGUUUGAAGGGCAAGAUUUUCGUAGAUGGCAGAAGAAGAUGAAGUUUCUCCUUACCACUCUGAAAGUGGUGUAUGUUCUGAGUACACCCAUGCCAGUCUUACCAGAAUCUGUUGAAGAUGAACCUUUGGAGGCAACAAGAAGAAGAUCAAAGUGGGAAAAUGAUGACUAUAUAUGUCGUGGUCAUAUUCUCAAUGGUAUGUCUGACUCUCUUUUUGAUAUUUAUCAAAAUUUCGAAUCUGCAAAAGAACUGUGGGAUUCUCUUGAAUCCAAGUACAUGGCUGAAGAUGCUUCUAGUAAGAAGUUUCUUGUUAGUAACUUUAUGGGUUACAAGAUGAUUGACUCUAGGCCUGUUAUGGAACAAUUCCAUGAAAUGUUAAGGAUUUUGGGACAGUUUGCUCAACACAAUCUGAAAAUGGAUGAAGCCAUUUCUGUGGCUGUGAUCAUUGACAAACUGCCCCCUUCCUGGAAGGAUUUUAAACACAAUCUGAAACAUAACAAAGAGGAAUUGACUUUGACUCAACUUGGAAGCCAUUUAAGGAUUGAAGAGUCCAUAAGGACUCAAGAACUUGAUAACAAUCCUAAAGGCAAAAACCAAGUUGGUUCCUCUUCUGUGAACAUGGUGGAAGGAGAAAGUUCAAAGAAUCCCAAGAAGUCUAAUGGAAAAAGGAAGUUUAAAGGAAAGGAUGACAAGUCUUCCAACAAGAAGGCUAAGUUGGUUUGUUGGAAUUGUAACAAACCGGGUCACUUCAAGAAAGAUUGUCGUCUUCGCAAAGUGAACAAGGAUGGUGCUGGACCAAGUGGAUCCAAGGAUCCAGAAAAGCAACAAGGUCAGAUUUCUGUUUUCAUGCAGAAUUCUAAAUAUAUUCAGAAUUAUAUUUCUGUGAUUUCUGAAGCAUUUUAUGUGCAGGAUGAUAAAGUUGCAUGGUGGGUUGAUUCGGGAGCAACAAGUCAUGUUUGCAAAGAUCUAUAUUGGUUUAAGGACUUUCAACCAAUUGAAGAUGGAUCUGUUGUGAAGAUGGGAAAUGUUGCAACUGAACCAAUCAAGGGCAUAGGAUCUGUUUUACUUACUUUUACUUCUGGGAAAUGUUUGUGUUUGAACAAUGUUUUAUAUGUUCCAGGGAUUCGUAAGAAUCUCGUGUCUGAAAUUGUAUUAAAUAAUUGUGGUUACAAACAAGUGUUAGAAAGUGACAAGUAUAUCUUGUCAAGACAUGGUUCUUUUAUGGGAUUUGGCUAUAUAUGUAAUGGAAUGAUUAGGCUUAAUAUUAAUUAUCCUUCUAGUGAUAAUUCUGUUUGCAUGGCUUCUAGUAGUACUAGCAAUAAUUUUCAUAAAUCUGAAUUAUGGCAUGCUAGACUAGGACACAUUCAUUACAAGAGAUUAAAAGACAUGUCUAAAAUGAGUUUAAUUCCUGCUUUUGAUAUGCAAAAUAAUGAAAAAUGUAAAACAUGCAUGCUAACUAAAAUCACUAGACAACCUUUCAAAGAUGUUGUUAGGGAAAGCAAGGUGUUGGAUCUUAUACAUAGUGAUUUAUGUGAUUUCCAUGCAACACCUUCCCUUGGAAACAAGAAGUAUGUUGUUACUUUUAUUGAUGAUGCAUCUAGAUAUUGUUAUAUCUAUUUGCUACAUUCUAAGGAUGAAGCACUUGAUAAAUUUAAAAUUUAUAAACAACAAGUUGAGCUUCAUAAAAAUGAAUUAAUAAAAGUAUUGCGUACUGAUAGAGGUGGUGAGUAUUAUGAUCCAAUUUAUUUUGAAUCAACUGGAAUAAUACAUCAAACCACAGCUCCAUAUACACCACAACAAAAUGGUGUAGCUGAAAGGAAGAAUAGGACUUUGAAAGAAAUGGUUAAUUCCAUGUUGUCAUAUUCUGGUUUAAGUGAAGGGUUUUGGGGUGAGGCAAUGUUAACUGCAUGUUACAUGUUGAAUAGAACUCCAAAUAAAAGGAGUAAGAAUACUCCUUACGAACUUUGGUGUAAAAAGGUACCAAAUUUGAGUUAUCUCAAAGUUUGGGGUUGUAGAGCAGUUGUAAGGCUCACUGAACCCAAAAGGAAAACAUUGGGUGAGAGAGGUAUAGAUUGUAUCUUUAUUGGAUAUGCUGAGCAUUCCAAAGCAUAUAGAUUCUAUGUUUUAGAAUCUAAUGACUCUGUGUUUGUAAACACAAUGAUAGAGUCAAGAGAUGCUAUCUUUUAUGAAGAAAGAUUUACAUUUAUACCUAGACCAAGGGAUAUGAUUCAUCAAUCUUCUAGCAAGAGUACUACUCAAGCUGAAGAUGUUUCUGGUGGUGCAAGUUCUGUACCUGAACCUAGGAAAAGCACCAGAGCUAGAAAAGCUAAGUCUUUUGGAUCUGAUUUUCAACUAUAUUUAGUUGAAGGAACAAGGAAUGAGACUAUUUCUCAACAUCAAUAUUGUUUUAAUAUUGAAGAGGAUCUAAAGACUUUCAGUGAAGCUAUGGCUUCUAGGGAUGUUCAUUUCUGGAAAGAGGCAAUUCAUGAUGAGAUUGAUUCUAUCAUGCAUAACAAUACUUGGAUUUUGGCUGAUUUACCUCCUGGUUGUAAGGUAUUAUGAUGUAAAUGGAUCCUCAAAAGAAAAAUGAAGCCAGAUUAGUUAUUCAUUCAAAAGAAAAAUGAAGGUGGACAGCACAAUUGAUAAGUAUAAAGCCAGAUUAGUUAUCCAACGCUUUAGACAAAAGGAAGGCAUUGAUUUCUUUGAUACUUAUGCUCCUGUUGCCAGAAUUUCUACUAUUAGAUUAUUAUUAGCUCUUGCAGCUAUACAUAAUCUUGUGAUUCACCAAAUGGAUGUGAAAACUGCAUUCUUGAAUGGUGACUUGGAUGAGGAAAUAUACAUGAAACAACCUGAAGGGUUUGUUAUGCCUGGAAAUGAACACAAAGUGUUCAAGUUGAAGAAAUCAUUAUAUGGUUUGAAACAAGCACCAAAACAAUGGCAUCAAAAGUUUGAUGAUGUUGUCUUGUCUAAUGGUUUUGCAUUAAACCAAGCUGACAAGUGUGUAUAUAGCAAAUUUGAUACUUCUGGUAAAGGAGUCAUGAUUUGUUUAUAUGUAGAUGAUAUGUUGAUUUUUGGUACUGAUUUAGAAGAAGUUGAUAAAACCAAGAAAUUCUUAUCAUCUAGUUUUGAUAUGAAAGACAUGGGGGAGGCUGAGGUAAUUCUUGGUAUAAGAAUUAGAAAAGGAAACAAUGGGAUUUCAAUUUCUCAAUCACAUUAUAUUGAGAAGAUAUUGAAAAAGUUUAACUUUGAGAAUUGUUCUCCUGUUAGCACUCCUAUAGAUCCUAGUCUUAAGCUUCUACCUAAUAAAGGAUCUCCAGUGUCUCAACUUGAAUACUCAAGGGCUAUUGGUUGUCUAAUGUAUGCCAUGAUUAGUAUUAGGCCUGAUAUAGCAUAUGCUGUGGGAAGGCUUAGUAGAUAUACUAGUAAUCCUAGUUCACAUCAUUGGCAAGCUGUGAGUAGAGUAUUCAAGUACUUGAAAGGGACCAUGAAUUAUGGUUUAACUUAUAGUGGAUAUCCUUCUGUUUUGGAAGGUUAUUCAGAUGCCAGCUGGAUUAACAACUUAGAGGAUCACUCCUCUACAAGUGGUUGGGUGUUUCUUCUUGGAGGAGGUGCCAUUUCUUGGGCAUCUAAGAAACAGACUUGUAUUACUAACUCAACCAUGGAGUCUGAGUUUGUUGCAUUGUCUGCUGCUGGUAAAGAAGCUGAGUGGCUAAGGAAUUUGAUUUAUGAAAUUCCAUUAUGGCCCAAACCGAUAUCUACCAUUUCUAUCAGAUGUGAUAGUGCUGCAACAUUGGCUAAGGCUUAUAGUCAAGUGUACAAUGGAAAGUCUAGACAUUUAGGUGUUAGACAUAGCAUGAUUCGUGAGCUCAUCAUGACUGGUGUGAUAUCUGUGGAGUUUGUAAGAACUCAGUUGAAUUUAGCCGAUCAUCUAACCAAAGGGUUAGCAAGAGAUCUUGUGCACAAGGCGGCUGUAGGGAUGGGUUUAAAGUCCACUUAAAUCUUUUAUAUUGAGAUACCCAAUUCCCAUCUAAUGCAAUAUUAGAUGUUGAAUUCAAUGUGGAAAGCUUGAUAUUUGAAGAUUGGAACACAUUUUAUUAUCAUCCCAAGGUAUGUGUUCAGUACUGCAAGUUAAGGAGGUUGAAAUUUUAUUUCUUAAUAGUUCUUUGAAAAAUUGCAUUUGCAGGUGCAAGAACAAAAGAACUACCUAUAUAAGCAUGAAGUUUAGCUGCUUCAAGAAGUUGGGACUUGACUUUGAUAUGCUUAUUGAAGGAUGGGACACAAGCUAGUAAAAUAUAGUGUCAAGUUAGAACUUAGAGAAUGUAAAUUGUUGUGUAUAUUAUCUUCAUGUAUUCACUUAGAAUAGAAAGGGUUCAAUCCUUAGUGACACCCUGAUAUUCGAAUAUUUGGAAUGAAUAAUAUACUAAUGUGAAAUUCAAUCGUCACGAUAUUUCAUUUAUGCAUCAGUUUGUUGUUAUGUUUUUGUUUUAAAUUAAUCAAGAUUACACUUAAAUGGGGGAGGUUUGUUGGUGAUUUGUUUCACUAAUGUGAUUUAAGUGUAAUGGGAUUACUUUUGUUGACCAAAAGUGAUCUUGAUAAAUAUUAAACAAGUAAGGAAGGUGUGGAGUGCACACUUGUUUAAGUUUAUUCAAGAUUAAAAGUAGACUGUCAUUUAGGGGCGAAGCCCCUGAACGAACGGGGGUCCGGGGGCAGCGCCCCUGGAAGUGGGGUCCAAGGGGCGGCAGCCCCUGGCGGGGUCCAAGGGGCAGAGCCCCUGGCUGGGAAUUGCUGUAUUGAAAAUGCAUCAGAAAUCCAAAUUUAGGAUAUUUGACCCGUUUUUGACUUGGUAUUAAUUCUUAUAGAAACCCGGAUUUAUGACAGUUUGUUGACUGUUGCCAAACUGUUUUAUGACAGUUUUGGCAGUUUUCAGACAAAGAAGGUAUUUAACCGAUUUUGGUCAGUUUUUUUUUAUACUUACGAAAAUUCAUAUAUUCAUUCUCUGUUCUUUUCUCUUCUGAGUCUUAUCCAAUCAAAGAUUAGGGAGUACCACCCAAUACUUUGAUUUGAUAGUGAAAUCACAAUUCUCAGAAUUUUCAAGGCUAUUUUAUCCUUAUUAUCUUACAAAAGUUAGCUAACAGCUGAAAAACUAACUGGUAAAACUAGCUGAAAAACAAGUUGAAAACAUGAAAUUACAUAAAAGGACAUUUAAAAGAAUGUGUUUUUAUAAUUAAUUAAGAGAUAUAUUUGAAAAAUAAAAAAAAUAAAAAAUUAAAAAAAUUAAAAAAAAAUAAAUAAAAAAAAACUCUUAAAAAGUAGUCUAACUAGCUUUUUAAAAUGCUAGCUUAUAAGUUACUUUUUAGCUUGCUCAACACAACAACUUAAAGAAGCUCGAAAAAUAAACUCCUUUUAUUUUUUAAAACUGGGACAAAAAAUGUAUAUACUACAAAUUUCUUUUCCAUUUUUAUAAGUAAAUGAUAAAUUUGAAAAUCAAAGACGAGAGUAACAAACAUGUCUGAGUCUUGCCCAAACUAAAAGCAUUUAAACUAGUAUGAUCAUUUUGUUACGUCUAUAAUCUACCUUACAAGCUUUCUUGUAAUUACAAAGUUUGACUCUUUACUCAUAUGAAUAGUUGGUAGGAAUAUAUGUCAAAAAUAAUGAAAAAUAAGUUAAGUUUUUUAACGAUGGAAAUUUUUAUAAAUAAUCGACGAAAAAACCAAGACACUUUCUUGAUCAAUAAGCUUUUAUUGCCGUUAAUUUGCAUCUUCAUAUAUAAUAUCAAUUGUUUUAAAUUACUUAUUAAAUUAGAUGUUCAUGUUCAAACUUUGGAAAUUUUGAGGAAAAAAAAUGUUGUGUUACUGUUGGCGGAGAUAUGUUUAUUUUUCUCGGUUUUAUCUAAAAUUUCAUUCAAUAGAGUUUGAGAUUUACAAACCGAUCAAAUACGUACUAACCAAGCUUGCCUUAUCGAAUUUGCAUUANNNNNNNNNNNNNNNNNNNNNNNNNNNNNNNNNNNNNNNNNNUAUAUAUAUAGAGAGAGAGAGAGAGAGAGAGAGAAUUUGAACCCAUCCUUUCUUGUUGUUUUUUUUGGCGUAUUAGUUAUGACAAUUGAUAAAACCAGUAUAACAUAUCACAAUUUCCAAAAACAUUAAAAGUUAAAAAGAAAUGAAUAUUGAGUGAUUUAUCAAAAAUUGUUGAGAAGAGUUUAGGGACUAUUUUUGUAAGUUAGAUAAUUUUUGAAUAAUCCAUAAGAAUAUAAAGACUGUUACAUAGACCAAAUUUUAUAUAAAUGACAAUGAUAUAAAAGCAAAGAUUAAAAAUGACAACAACUAAAACACAAAGCUUAAAGUUUGGCAAAAAAAAACUCACGUAAACACACACAAAAUUUAUAUGGAAAUGUAAAUAAACUCGAUUUACACCGACACGUACAUAAAAAAUAUGUAAGUAAUAUUUUAUAUUUUGUUAAUUAACGAAAGAAAAUUCAAAUAACAAAAAUUGUAUUAUAUAUGACCCGAGUUAUAGGUAGGAAACAUAUAUAAAAAUAAAUACCAAAACAUUAAAAAAAUUAAGUUGAAACGUAGACAAACUUGAAUUUGAAUUUAUUCAAACAUUGACCACCUUUAAUUUACACCGACACAUAUAUAACAAAAGCAAAUAAAAAAUUGGUUUUUGUAAGUUAACGAACGAAAGUUAUUAAUGAAAAUCAGAUUAUAUAUAUAUAUAUUAUGGGGGAUCAUCAACACGAAAGUUUAGAAAAUGAAAGUGGUAAAAAUGAUAUUUUAUAAAGUUCAACGUUGAGGGGUUGAAAGUAACAUUUUAAAAAACGGAGGGGUUGAAAAUUCAUUUUACAAAAUAGAAAAAAUUGGAUUAUAUAAGUUAGAGGGAUUAAACUUGAACAUCAAACAUUAACGUAUAAAAUUCAAAGUUAAGAGGGUGAAAAUAAUAUUUUAAAAUAUAUAGGAGUAGAAAAUGCAUUUUACAAAGUAGAGAAAGUUGAUGGAUGAAAGUAACAUUUAAAAAAUAGAAGGUUGCAGAUGGAUUACAAAAAGUUGAGGAAUUAAACUUGAAUUCACGCCGUUCAGAUACUUGUAAAUUGUGCAUAAAUAUGAGUGUGUUUGACACGUAGUGUUUGAGAGUUUCUAGCUUCUAGCAUUUAACAAAACGCUUCAUUUUAAACAAAUAACCUUGUUAACACUAAAAGCUUUUAACGUUUAGUUUAAAUAAAAUGUUUCAAAUCCAAAUGCUACUUCACGUAGCGUUUAACAAAACGUUACAUGCUACCAGUUAUUCGCCACCUGGUAGAAGCUACCCAUUACCAACUACUUUUGCCGAACACACAUUAUAUAUAGUAUUAGCUACCGUAGAACACACUCACAUGCACAAACUUAUAUUUUGUAUAUAUUUGUAAUUUCUUAAGAAGCAUAUAUCAUUUCUAAUGAACAAUCAUCAAUCAAUUUUUGCAUACACAAUUUAAUUUCUUUAAGUGGUUAAAAGUUGUAAAUAAAAACUCACUUAUAUUUACUUAUAUCUUCAACGUCAAUAUAUUAUUAAAAAACUAGCAAUGUUAGUAAAUAAACAUUACAUAAUAGAAAUAAUAGGACUAGAAACCAACCAAAAUAUUUCAAAUUAUAUUUUCUACUCCUAUAAUUAAAGAUCCAAAAAAAAUGUCUAGGAGACAAUAUUGCCAAAGAUAUCCGACUUUAAGAUUUAAAUUUUCUUUGCAUCACACCCAAAUUAGAUAAAUUUCCCAAGUUAUCGAACCUUUGAAGUGUUGCAGGAUGAAACAUGAAUAUUCAUUGCUAAAAAACACUCUGAAAAACAAAUAACAAUAAUUAGAUUCAAAUCUCAUACAUGUUAGCAAGUUACAAGUACAAGUCUCAUAUAUGUAUUGUAUGUUUGUACGUCCGCGUGUGUGUUUUAUGGUGUUAUCUUUAAGGUCGUAUUAGGUGGAAUUUGAAUGAAACAUUCCUUCAGUGACGUGCUUUGUUUGUUGGCUAAAUCGCUUGAAUUGACUUUUGUUUAAAUUUCAUUUAAAUUUAUGCUAAAAUGUAAUUAUUAUUCUUAAAAUAUGACCAAAGAAUCUAAAUAUUUGUACUAUAUUAAAGGGAUUUGUGUCAAAGNNNNNNNNNNNNNNNNNNNNNNNNNNNNNNNNNNNNNNNNNNNNNNNNNNNNNNNNNNNNCGUGUUUAUAAGAUAUACAAUGAAAAUAGAUUGAUAAAAAUGAUGUAUGGAAUAAGAAAUUUUUAAUAAUACAAAACUAAAAUAUGAUGAAAUGUAACUGCCCAAAAAUCCAGAUAAAUUUUUUUCAUUUUUAAAAAAGGAAUUACAAUCAUAGUUUAUUUCUCAAAAUCCAUUACAUCAUAUCAUAUCCAAAAUAUCAGAGUAUCAAUAUCGAUAAAUGCAGAAAGUGUUGGGAGUGAAUGUUGUGCCAUCAAGUCGGACCCUUCCCUAUAGUACCGGAAGUACCUGAAAACACUCAAAUAAACUGUAAGUCAAAGCUUAGUGAGUUCCCAAAAUAUAACAUAACAUACAACCAUAGAACACAUGUCACAUACAUAAGAUUGCCAUGGGCUACACCCAUGGUUUUUACUUGAAAUGUCAUGAGCUACCCCCAUGGUCUGACAUCCAAGUGGCAUGGGCUACCCCCACGGUCUUUACCUAGAAGGUCAUGGGCUACCCCCACGGUCUAAUAUCCAAGUGUCAUGGGCUACCUCCAUGGUCUUCACACAAGUGCCACGGGGUACCCCCGAGGUCUUCAGACGAAUAAUUGCAUAACAACUGUCAAUCCACAUGUUAAAUAAUGGGUCGACAUUGGUACCUUCUACCCAUUGAUAUUGUGAAAAGAUUUACCUCAUACUGCUGAUAAAAAUAUUGCUCGGCUACUGGUCCGAAAAUCUCACAUUGAAUAUACACAAGUUAACCUAAUUAGAAUUUAGUCACAAACUCAAAGCAUAGGCGAAAACUCUAAGUCCAAACUCCUCCAAUAAGGCCCAACAGUCUUUCUCCUCUAAUGGGCCUAACAUCCAUGGUCCAAAAUUAUAAUGGGCCAUAAGGCCCAAAAAGACCCAACCAUGCCACCUAUGGUCCAAUAACAAGUUCAAAGGCCCAAAUACUCUAAUAGAUCCAACCCAAUGCUAAGUAGGGCCCAAAUGGCUCAAAAGCCCACCGAAAGCCUAAAACUCACUAGAAGCGUAUACCCAACGUACAUCAUCAGUACACUUAGCGUACUGGGUUCUUUGGCGAUACACGCAACGUACAAACUAGUAUGCCCAACAUACAAGCUGCUUUGCUUAAAGAGCCAUUAAGUGCUUAAUUCAUGUGUCCAAAUCCAAAUCUUGUUCAUUUUAAAGGUCCUAUGGCAUAAAUUAGGCAACUUUAUGACUUUGCAUGCCAUGUGGGAACCCAACACCUCAUUUUAUCCAUUAAGACUCCCUUUAAGACCUUAAACUCAUGCAUGGUACCAAAACAACCAUCAAGCUAGCAUUUUUAUGCUUUUAAUAGGCCAAAGGAACUCAGAUCUAACAUUUCUAACCCCUGGAGUUGCUCAAACUCACAAGAGAGGAUCCAUGUGUUGGAUUAGUGUCUAAGUCCAUAACUAUUUUGGUAUGUACUUGACCCGAUUAUGAACAUUGUCCUUUUAGGUUGCCUUCACCAUAGCAAUAUGUAGGAUGAAUUAAGGAGAGAAAGGUUUAAUUAUGAUUUAUUAAUAUAUUAUGAGAAUAAUAUAUUAAAGAAGAAAUCAUAUUGUUUAAUUAAUAUUAGUUAAGAAUUAAUAAAGAAUUAAUUUUUUGGCUAAAAGAGAUUAAUUAAACUUAGGGGGACUGGAAUUGGAAUUAUAAGAUAAUUGCAAUUGGACUAUGGAUCACCUUGGAAUAAUAGGUUAGACGAAUUCUAUGGGGAAGCCCAUUAGAAAUCGUCCAAGGCAUGUUCCAGAAGGGGUCCAUGGGCUGCUUAGGGCUUAAGCAGUCAAAUUACGGUUUCCUUGUUAGAUAACCUUAAUUGCCUACCUAUUUAAAGAACGCUUGAGACCCAAAAACGUGGCUAAGUGCUCCUUUAGGGUUUCCAGCCGUUUUUGGUGCCUCCUCCCUUCUCUUCUUCAUCCAAUUACUUAGUGUUGUUUGUGACUCCAUUAGAGGUGCAACAGUUGAGGCACUAAGCUUUCUAAAGCCAAGGAUUGAUUGUUAUUGCUAUAUAACAAUCAAAGGUAAGAUCUAAACCCUAAUUUCAGUUAUAGUUUAUUAGAUCUAGGGUUUAUAGCCUUGGAUAUUCAAUUGUAUGUUCAUUAGAGAAACUAGAUCCAAAGCUAUUAGGGUUUGCAUGUACACCAUAUGAUUGAUGUAUUGCUCAAAACCAAUCAGUGGUAUAAGAGCCUAGGGCUGUUUGUUUGAUGUAUUUGAUGCUUUAUUUGAUUAUUCAUGCUUAAAAUCGAAAAUUUGAGUUUCUGGGCGCUUGACUCGCCGAGUCCAUUAUGAACUCGACGAGUCCAGUGCUGGCUCGACGAGUCUGAGACGCAGAAUGCUGUUUUUGCAGGAUUUUGACCUGUUUUGGCUGUAGAUAAUUACCUAAAAUGUUUUUUGUCAAUAAAAUCCGAAUUUUAUCCAUAUUGGGUGAAUAUUCUUACCAAAAUAGAAGAUAAUUGUCAAAAUUUAGAUAAUCAUUUGUUUUAUUAGAUAAAGAUUGAUUAUUUGUAAUUUAGAUUUGAAUUAUCUUGUAAAUUAUCUUGAUUAUGUCAAAUUUAGAUAAUUAUUAAAUUAAUUAUCUAAUUUUAAAUUAUUUGCAAUUUGAUCUUGUGUGUUUUGAAUAGUUUCAAAACUUGCCCUCAAGUUUUGGAAUUUAAAAUUUUGAUUAAUAGUUUAAUUAUGUAAUAUAAUUUUAAAACUCUAGUAUUUUGAAAAGUUCAAAUUACACCCUAAUGGUUUUGUUAAGUUAAUUAAAAGAGAAAGUCAUUAAAACCACCUAGUAUUUUAAAAGUGUAAAAUACACCCUAUACUAUAUAUAUGUAACAUUCACUACAAGAAAAAUAGCCUUUAAUGACACGCAAACAAUGACACUCGCUGAUUCACGUUAGCAUUUUUGGNUGACACUCGCUGAUUCACGUUACGCAUUUUUGGGCGUCCUUAAAAAUAAUGUCAGACUUCCAAAAUUUGAAGGAUAGAGGAUACGCAUUUUUGCGUGCCCUUAAAUUUGUGUCUCAAGAAAAAAAAUUAAAACACGGAGAGCACUUUAUCUUAAACUUGCGUCUUCUGUAGAUGUCGCUUUAUAAUUUUAGUGAAACGCACUUGAGAAGAUAACGGGGGAAAACGAAACCCAAAAUUUUUGAAAACCCGCCUUUCUUUUCUACCUUCUUUUCUUCAUCUUCACAAUCGACUCUCCCCUCUUGUUUCUCUAUUGUGAGAAGUGACGGAAAGAAGGGAGACUAGGAUGGAUCUGCCGGUGAUGAUGAACGGAGGUGUUUUCCGGUCCAUUUUGGAGAUGGCGUUGUCGAUUUCUAUGGGUUUUUUCCCUCUUUCCCUAAUCACGUAGUAGCCGUGAAUCACACACCGCCAGGCAGUGAAAGAAGAUGAUGAAGUUUGUCGUUGUCGUAUGCCUCCCUCCCUCGCUAACUAUCUCUGCCCAUUCUUUAGGGCUUAUUUCUUCUCUGGGACGAAUUUGAUUCUUUUUCUGAUUUGGGAACCAAAACAUGCGAGAUUAAUGAAUUUAUUGGUGAUAAUUAAUGGGAUGAUGAUUCCUUAACCUAUGAACAUGAAAAUAAGGUAGAAGUUUCUUCUCUUUCGUCUCUAUCUCAGCUGAGAUAGAAACAAAAUGCUUAUUUUAAUCAAUUUUACUCUUCCAAAGCUAAUUGUAUUCAUGCGGUUAAAUUCAUUCAUAUUCCUCAUUGACCUUCAUAUGUUCAUUACUACCCUAAUUUUGGCUUCUGAUGAGUCUUUGAAUCCAUAUGCAGGAUUCUACGGGGAAAAUCACCUAGGUUCUCAGGUACAACUCCAUUGGACUAAUUCGGACCAAAUCAAACCCCUAAAACUGCCUUUUGACAUGUUAAUCAUUGUCGAUGUGGUGUACAUAGAGGAAUAUCUAGCACCUUUACUGGGGGCGGCGAAGUCAAUGGUUACUGAUAUAGGGGUUGUGCUAUUAGGGUGUUAAGUUAGGUCGCCUGAAAUGGGUAGAAUAUCUGAAAGAGGUUUCUACUCGUUCUCAAAUUCUUUCCCUAUUCUUAAUAAGAAAUUUACAAUCGAUGUCAAGCUUUCUACUCUUUCUGAAAUUCAUAAAAUUAUUUGUUAUCUUAUCACUUUACGUUUUUCCUUAUUCCUUGGUUUCCCCAUUUUUGAUUGAUUGUACUAUUAUCUACUGUAGUUGUAGAUUUCAACUAAAAAAUAUUCAAAAUUGUUUUUUUUUAUUUUGUGUUUAUUAUAUUUUUCUAAUACUAUCCAAAGGACAAAGGACAUAUGAUGGUUCGUUAUUAUGCACAUUUCAUGAAAGAAGACAAUUUUUCUCACACCCACCACCUGUUUGUUUUAUUGCUUCUUCCAAUUUUGUUGAUAGGAAAGUAUGAUGGAUAUAGUCAUUUGUAGCCAUGAUAACAAUUUUUUGGGGGAGUUGUGACUUGCAUUAACUUUUCUCUUUGCAUCCAAAUUGUGCAUUUACACUUCAAUUAACACUAUUUGGUUAUUGCUACUAAAAUUAGGUCUAUGGAACCAUAAUGCAUGCAUGGAUCUCCUCCCGCCAUUCAAUCCUAUUCCUAAAUUAGUCAUCAUAAAGAGUGUUGUCUUUUUGACAUAUUGGCAGGUAACAAGCCACUUCUUGGUGAGCUGAACUGAAUUUUCACUGCAGUUAUAGACACAGUAGACUGGAAUGUGCUUCUACAUGGUAUUAUUGAUAGAGAACGUUUUCUUUUUUUUUUUUUCCUUUUUUUCACUAUGGUUCUUUACUUUGGUGAUUGAAAUCAGUACAUGAUUAUAUCUUUUUGCAGAUUUGUUUCAGAGAUUAUUCAGCCAAGAUCUUUUAGUUGCGAGUUUGUUUCGGAACUUUUUACUUGCAGAGAUAAUUAUGCGUUCUGCAAAUUGUUCUCGUGUAUCUUAUCCGAUGUUGCCUCCAACUCAUCAACACCAUAUGUGGUAAUAAACACAUCAACUUGCUUAUGAUGUUAUAAUUCUUGAAUCUUGAUUAUUUUGGUUAUGGUUUGACCACGUGUCAUUACAAGGAUGCAUGGGAUAUUGUUACUGAAAUCUGCCUUUCUCAACUUCCAACAUUGCUCGAGGAUCCCAAUGCAGAAUUCUAGGUCUGAGAUUAAACUGAUAUUUUCUAGUUACUUCUUCAAAUGCUUUCUUGAUAAAGUUAUUGAUUAAUUGUUGAUGUGGCAUUAAUAUUUUACAACCAAGUCCUCUUUUCAUUGAGUAAUUGACUGCGUUUGAGGUGUGGCUGGAUCAUGGGUCUGAACAUAAGAAACCACCUGAGCAGUUGCCUAUUGUUUUCCAGGUUUUACUCAAUCAAUGCCAUAGGUUUCGUGCACCUGUGCUUCUUGGAAGAUUUAUUGAUAUGGGUCCAUUGGUUGUUGAUUUGGUAGGUUAUUUUAGGUUUUUACCUUUUUACAGUUUUACUCAAUCUGCAUCACUUGUUACAUGUUUCUAAUGGUAUGCUAUAUUGAAUUAGGCCUUGUCAGUGGGAAUAUUUCCAUAUGUUCUGAAGCUAUUGCAAACAACCACACCUAGGGAUGCAAACGGGGGCGAAUAUUGGUGGAUACUGUAAUCCCCGUCCCCGAACCCGACCUCCGAUCUCCACACCCAUCCCUGACCCCAACCCGCCAAAUGCCCAACGGUUACAGGUGAAAUAAUCCCCACUGGGUUCUGGGAACCCGAUGGGUACCCGUUUAGCAAUAAAGUUAUGUUUUUAAAAAGGAUAUGAAAAUAUAAAACAUAAAAAUAAUUACAAAAUUUAUUUAAUUCUCCAUAUAUUAAAUAUCAAAUUGUUUUAAAAUAUUGAAAUAUAAAGAUGUUUAAUAAAUAAACAACUGUGUUUUUAACAUGGAUUCUUGAGUAAAAGUUUUGACCCACCACUUUGCUAUUUAAAGUUUCCAUAUUCUUAUUUGUUGGAACUUUUGCUAUUUAACGUUGACGUAUUCUUAUUUGUUGGAGCUUUCCUAUUUAAAUCUUUUGUAUUCUUAAUCGAAGAGGCACACUCUUAAUCGAAGAGGCAUGCACAUGCUAAUCUGUUCAAUGCACUAUACCUCGGUAACUUAAAUAUGUAUUUAAUAAAAGUCGAUUUUUGUUAAGUUUAGUGUGUGUGUGUGUGUAUAUAUAUAUAUAUAUAUAUAUAUCGAGUCUUAAAUGGGGCAGACAGUAGUAUAUCCGUCCCCGCCCCGUCCUCGUUUCGGGUAAGAAAUUGAAACCCCAUCCCCAAACCGUUACCCGAUAAUACGGGGAAUACCCGAUCCGUUCGGGUCAAAUCCCCACGGGUAGCGGGUAAUACCUGAUCCGCUUGCAUCUCUAACCACACCUGAACUUCGACAAAUUCUUGUGUUCAUCUGGACAAAGAUCCUUGCACUUGACAAGGUAUGACUAUGUCUUCCCUUUUGUUACCUUUUCUCUAGCAUGAUAUUGAUAGCCUUGACUGAUGUUGACGUUUUUGAAUCUACAGUAAUGUCAAGUUGAUUUGGUGAAGGAUUGUGUUAUGAUAAAUACUAGGAUCAUUGAGUGGUGGUAGAGUAGUAUGCCUGGGUUUUUUCUUGUUUUUCUAAAAGAUUUCAGAGGGGCAGGACCAAAUGUGGAAGUAUGGUUCUUAAUGCAGUUUAAAUAAGGGUCAUUGAAGUUCUUUUUUUUAGGUCUAGGUUGGAAAAUGUGUCUCGACUUUAUGAAUUUUGUGCAGAAGUUUUAGAGUGUUUUAUGUUAUAAAGUACAAAAGCUUGUUGUCAACGAGAAUAGAAACUGCAUUUAGAACUGUACUUCCAUAUUUGGUCCGGUGAGAAUACAAAGAGUUCACAUUGGGUUUAUCUAUCACAUCCAACCAUGAAAGAAUACAAAAGUCUUUACCAACUGGACAUCUUCAUGCCACUACACUUGCAGAUUAUCUUGUUCACAAGGCAGGUUGAUUUAUAUUUUAUAUAUCACAUCAACCCUAUUACUGUGUUUUUUAUGAGAAUUGAGUAAUAUUAACAGUUUUCUUUGCAGGGAUACAGACCCUAUUAAUUGCAUUUCAAAUCUUUACAUAAACGCUAUUAAUUGCAUUUCAAAUCUUUACAUGUUUCUGAUAUGUUUCUUCAAAUGACAGGAUGCAAGCAAUGAGCUACGAAAUUCCUCAUGUGCAAAGAAGAUGGUGAGCUAAUAGUCUUACAUUCAUAUGUUUUUUUUAAAAAAAUUUAUAAUUCAUAUUGUAGUGUAUUUAUUCCAAAAAUGGUUUUUGCUAUCACUAUACCUUACAAGUUUUGACAAGUCAAGUAUAUCUAUUUUUUGUAACCGAAUCAACAAUGCAGUAAAGACCCUUUUACCCUUCACUCAUCAUAUGCCUCUCACAGUUGAAUAUCUCAAGACUACUUCACUUUCACCAAUAAAAGAUUACGAAACAAACAGGUAACUUAGCAAUUAACAUUAAGCCUUAUAUGGUACCAAAUAAUUAAUUAAUUUUAUGGAUUUUUUUACUAGUCCAACUAUUAAUGAUUAUCUUGUGGAUCAGGUAACUAACCAUAUGAUAUUCUUCUUUUUCCAUGCAUGGUGAAAUCCUCAUUCUAUACUUACUAUAUAAGCAAAGAAUGUAUGUUAUAUUUUUCAUAUGAAUAAUGAAGACUACAACAUGAGUUUGGAUGCAUAAAGAAGUACUUUUUCUUCUCUCUCUCUUACUUUUGCUUCUAACUUGUGUGUAACCCUUUCCUUGUAUGUAGAUGACACAUUGGUGUAAGAAACAUCCGCUCACCCUUUUGGUAAUUGGCUGGUCCUUAAAUGGGAAACUUGAUUCUGGAACUCUCAGUCUACCAACAUUAGAGUUUAAUUGGGUGAUUGAAGGUGAUUUUGGUUCUUGAAAUGAGACUCAAGAUAUCAUAUUUUGGCAUGGCUAGAAGCUUAGGAGGAAAUGAGACUCAAGCAAAAGUAAACACACAGAGAGUUGUUGGCACAUAGUAAGCUAGAUGAUGCAAUUGUAUAUAAAUGAGUUCAUUCUUUUAUAACAUGAUUUAGUCACUUUUGGAAUAAUUAUUUGUAUUUGACAUAUUAGUGAAAUGAAUUAUCUUUGUUAUUUAUGGUAUUUUAUUUUUUAUUAUGAGAUUUUUAAUGUACUAUUUAAUUUGAAAAUUAGUAAACCUAUAAAUAAUAUUUUUUUUAAACAUUUAAAAUUAUGAUACGCAAAAAUGCGUGUCUUCUUCAUUUAUGACAUGGCCUUUCUUAACAGAGGAUUUCUUGAUACGCAUUGCGUGUCAUUAACACGCGCAUCGUAAGCUUACGACAUGCGGAAGCGUGUCGUCUUCCUUUAUGACAUGGCCUUCCUUGAUACGCAUUGCGUGUCCUAAACGUGCGUCAUAAUUGCGCGUUGUAAAUGAGCGUCGUAAAUGCGUGUCGUCUCUCUUUAUGACAGGGCCUUCCUUGACGCGCAUUUGCGCGUCGUCUGAGCCUUUUACGACGCGCAAUGAGCGUCGUAAAAGGCUGUUUUUCUAGUAGUGANNNNNNNNNNNNNNNNNNNNNNNNNNNNNNNNNNNNNNNNNNNNNNNNNNNNNNNNNNNNNNNNNNNNNNNNNNNUUAUAUAUGUAUGAGUAAACAGUCAGUCUUACCGUUAGUAGGCCUCAUUCACGAAGCUGGUCUAUAAGGGGUGUUUAAGGAAAUUGCCUAUAAAAUGGCGAUUGAAUGGGUAUCUACUCUUACCCACCGCACUCUUGACUAAUGGAGGGUCGUUAGCCGAACGGGUAGGAUAGGACAGAAACCUUCCAUUAUAAGUAUAAUGAAGUACAAAGUAACUAAAUAUAUUUUUUUUAAAAUUCCCAAAUCAUAGUUACUCUAGGAAAAAUGUGAAAUCGUAUGCUAAUCCAUGGAAUGACACUUUGUACCCCUGCCGAGACGUUAGUGGAGCGUGUGUGGUUAACCGGUACACUAAUUUGGGUUUGGCAUUGGUAGCGAAGGGUGGAUCGAUGUUUAUCAUAGAUCAAUGGAGCGUGUGUGGCUAACCGGCACAUUGAUUAGGUGAUAGUAGCAUUGAGUGCACCAUGUACAUUCGCAUGGUUAUUCACACCUUAUUUGUGAUCCUCGGCAUCCCAGUCAUAAAUGAAGGGCAUAAUCGAGAUUAAACAUGCCAUUGAAAAGUUCAAUGAAUCUCUAAAGAUCUAGGAGUUUCAAUUCAUUUAAAACUUAAAUUUUCUUUUUCGUUUUUCAUGGUGGAAAUUGGUAAAUCGUCAUUUACCUACCUUCAAAUAUUUUGCAACUAGAUUACGACAUCCCUCUUCUAGGUUGUAGAGUAUUAUGUUGGAUCCCAGCCUUGAUGUUUCAUUUGGGUGUUACAUCAAGGAUUCUUAUCAACUUGACUUGAAUUUCUCCCGUUUUGUUGAUGUCUGAAUCUAACAAUGGUCUUCCCAAUUCCAAUGGAGCAAGUCUUCCAAAUGAAGAUGUUAUCCCAUGAUAUGAUCGAGGAACCAAAAAUCAUGCUUCACUUCCUCCACGUUCUCUAAUUAUUCUUCCUGACCCACAAGUUCGAAGGCUUGAAAAGUUCAAGCUCACUCAAGCCCUUUUGGCAAGUAAACACGAAGAUGGGAAACCUGUGUAUGCACACAUCUUAGAGAUGAAGUCACACAUUGAUAGGUUAAGGAUGAUGGGUUUCGAUAUCUCAGAGAUGUUGGCUGUUGACUGGGUUCUUCAAUCGCUUCCUGAAUCAUAUAGCGAGUUCGUUAGAGAGUACUAUAUGAUGGACCAUGACGUGACCCUCAUUGAUCUCACCUAUUUGCUUAUAGCUGCUGAAUCAACAAUGAUUUGGCGUGCUGGUUAAACAAAUUUGUCUGGUGAAUCAAACUCCCAAACUUCAAUGGGCACUAGCAACAUUGGAAGUCCAGAAAGGACUAAGUAUGAGAUUUGGCAAUUAGUCUAAACAUUUGGGACUUAGUAACAUAAGUUCUGAAUUUGUCUAAACACACAUAUGAGCUUUCUAUGGCAAAGGUGUAUAAGUUUAAGAAGCUUAGAUAAAGGCUUAUCGAAGCAUCUGGUAUUAGAAAUAUGAACUUCAUAAAUUCAAUAGGUAUUGUUUUCUGGAAGUUCAUCUGUUUUCUGAAUACAUGUCAAAGCUAGUGGGAGCAUAAUAUGAUAAUAAUCAUCAUGAUAGUGGGAGCAUAAGUGUUAUGCUUGUAUGAUUAUUAUGGCAAGUAUUGCAAAUUAGCAAUAUUAAUUAUAGAAAAACAAAGAUUCAAUUUGCAAAGUUACAUGGGUUGAAAAGUUGUUUUGCUACAAUUAAGGGAGAGAAUAUUAUACUUCGUUUCAAAAUCUAAAGCUUAGAUUGAGAAAUUUUAAUAAAUUUAGUCAAAGGAUACAUAGUGUGUUCUUAAAUUUCAAUUAUGAUUACGACAUUCCUCUUCAUAGUUCGAAUUGUGAGAACGUGACACAUAAAAUAUUAUGGCAGAAGAUUGAUAAAAUAUCAUAUCUUUAUGUAAGACAUUAUGCAUCAUGUACCAUACGCUUCGGGUAUAGGAAUGAUUGCAAAUGCUAUAAUAUUUGACAAUUCUAAAAUUUUCUAAAUGUCUAGCGCAUUAAGAGGGAAAAAGUACUAGAAUUGGUUUUGACUGAAAUAAUUAAACAACUAUCAAAGGACGAUCCAAAGUUCGCUGAGGAUUGGUCGCUUGUGAGUAGUUGGAAGUAUAGUAUUGGAUGGACCAUGUUGACACUAUUUUGAAUAAAUAAGACUCUAUUUAGAAUGGUUUUUCAUGUGGAAAAUAUGGAAACAUUUCCAUAUUGGGAGUUGAAAAUUAAGAAUUUAUGUCUAGAUUAGAAAUUUUAUGCAAAAAGGAUGUUCAAAGGAAUGUAUUUUGAGUGAGAGACAUCAUAUCUAUACAAUUGUUUUGUAACAAUUUCCGAUAGAUUAUCUUGGAAUUUCAUUAGCCGAGUCUUGGUGACUUUUGUGCUAUGACAUUACGAAAGGAUCAUUGCAUAAAAUGUUAGAAUCUAAUAUAUUCUAUUAGUGGCAAGAAUGUUGUGUUCUUACACUAAUGGUUCAAAGGAAUGUAUUUUGAGUGAGAGACAUCAUAUCUAUACAAUUGUUUUGUAACAAUUUCCGAUAGAUUAUCUUGGAAUUUCAUUAGCCGAGUCUUGGUGACUUUUGUGCUAUGACAUUACGAAAGGAUCAUUGCAUAAAAUGUUAGAAUCUAAUAUAUUCUAUUAGUGGCAAGAAUGUUGUGUUCUUACACUAAUGGUAAGGAUUGAGAAUUGUGAAAUGAGUUUCAUUGGAAAGGUUUUCAAUUGAUCUAUUUCACAAAGUAAGGAUCAUAGGUAACAUAGUGUGCAUGCUCGGAGCAUGGGACAACUAUUGUUGUAAUUCAAGUAAUAAGUUGAUUAUCCAAAACAUUAAACAAUGAAUAAUGAGUAGUCAAUAUGGUGUUUAAAUAAAAGUGUUUUAUUUACGCUCAAAAGUUUUGGGGCCAUAUAGGAUUAAGUAUUAUCGUUGUGUUUCAUUUUGCAUGUUUUGACUUCCAGAAUAACUGGGUUAUUCGAACCUCCACAGUCGGUCAUACGUUGGAAGUAGGUAUGAAGGAAGACUAUCAUGAAUCUGUUUGUAGAUUGUCUAAAGUGUUUAGACAUAGCACAAGUUUGCUGCAGAGUUCAUGAGUGCUUUGAUAACAUUAAAGUAUAGGAUUAAACCCACGCCCACUUGAAUCACUUCAUGGAUUUAUCACGGGUGAUUAUUGAGACGCUAACAUUGUAUAUUCUUGAAACUGAGACAUGUGAAUUGUUAUUUGCUGGUCGGUUGCACAUUGAUGAUAAGUAAACACACCAGUAACUUGGUGUUAUAAAACUUAUUGUUGUGUGUGAUUCGAUCAGUAAAUGCAAGCAAGCAUUUGAGUCAAAGUUUAUCCAUUCCUUUUACCCAAAGUGGGAUAAAAGCGAUAUCUGUGGGCCCCUCGAUGAUUUAGUGAUGACACCUAAGCGCUUGGCCAAGCCGGGACUAAGUUGAUGUGUUCAAUUGUAGUCUGUUGUCAGUCGUCAUAAAUCAGAUGUCGGGAAACAAUACAUAGACAUAGAGAAUGAUUUAAAUCCAUGUCUCGUGUCUACACGAUAUCUUGAGAAUGGAGGAAUAUAUAAUACCUUAUCUAAAGGACAUGCAUCUCUGAUAAGAUCAGAGUUGACAGCGGCUUUUGAAAGCUACGAUUGCUGAUCAGGUUCUGAAGUUAUGCAAAAUAGUUAUUAGACUUAUCCAAGUGGGAGACUGUUGGAUUAGUGUCUAAGUCCAUAACUAUUUUGGUAUGUACUUGACCCGAUUAUGAGCAUGGUCCUUUUGGGUUGCCUUCACCAUAGCAAUAUGUAGGAUGAAUUAAGGAGAGAAAGGUUUAAUUAUGAUUUAUUAAUAUAUUAUGAGAAUAAUAUAUUAAAGGAGAAAUCAUAUUGUUUAAUUAAUAUUAGUCAAGAAUUAAUAAAGAAUUAAUUUUGUGGCUAAAAGAGAUUAAUUAAACUUAGGGGACUGGAAUUGUAAUUAUAAGAUAAUUGCAAUUGGACUAUGGAUCAUCUUGGAAUAAUAGGUUAGACGAAUUCUAUGGGGAAGCCCGUUAGAAAUCGUCCAAGGCAUGUUCCAGAAGGGGUCCAUGGGUUGCUUAGGGCUUAAGCAGUAAAAUUAGGGUUUCCUUGUUAGAUAACCCUAAUUGCCUACCUAUUUAAAGAACCCUUGAGACCCAAAAAUGUGGCUAAGUGUUCCUUUAGGGUUUCCAGCCGUUUUUGGUCCCUCCUCUCUUCACUCCUUCAUCCAAUUGCUUAUUGGUGUUUGUGACUCCAUUAGAGAUGCAACAGUUGAGGCACUAAGCUUUCUAAAGCCAAGGAUUGAUUGUUAUGGCUAUAUAACAAUCAAAGGUAAGAUCUAAACCCUAAUUUCAGUUAUAGUUUAUUAGAUCUAGGGUUUAUAGCUUUGGAUUUUCAAUUGCAUGUUCAUUAGAAAAACUAGAUCCAAAGCUAUUAGGGUUUGCAUGUACACCAUAGGAUUGAUGUAUUACUCAAAACCAAUCACUAUGGAUCAAAAAUGGACUUAUUACCAAACCUUAACUCAAACUAGCAAAAGGAUAAGCUAGGUAUGGAAUUUUUACCUCCAAAAGUUCCCCAAGAUGAAGUAAAUGUAGGAUCUAGAAGCUCAACCACGUCCAAGACUUGAUUACCAUCUUCUCCUUCUUGCAAACACACUAAAAUGACCACCAAAAUCACUUUUAAGCUCAAGAAUCACAAUCUCUUGCAAACUAGGGUUUAGGGACGAUACGAGGCAAUGGAGGUUGUUUAGGGUUAGGUCCAAAUGACAUAAGAGUGCUUAAAUAGGGUACAUGCCCUAAAAUUAGGGUUUUUGUCUUAGACCAUGUAUGCCCCUAUGUACGACCUAGUACACCCCACGUAUGUCGUGCAUGACCGCGUCCAAACCAAUCUAGUACGCUAAGCGUACACAUAUGUACGCCCAACAUACGUAAGGACCUCCUUUGCAAAUAAAUUCCAUUCUAAGGGUUAAAAGGGUAAAUACCUACAUUCUGAAUGUUACAUGAAAUAUAAAAGAUACGAAAGAUUGUGAAAAUACAGUUGGGAAUAUGUAUCAAUAUGACUUUCAAAGUAGAAUGUUAUUAUAAAGCAAUAAAUGAGACUUUAAAAAUAUUGUAAUAAAUAGUACAAAUUUGAGAUUAUAUUAUAUUAUAAAAAUAGAAGGAUAAUUGAAAUUUUGUUAAAUACUCCUUAAAAUCAUGAUAUUUAAUAAGUUAGAUUUUAUAAAAUAUUUAAUAAAAUAAUUUAUUUACUAACAGAAAUUUAAAAUUUAAAUAUAAUUAUAAUCUAUUAUUUAAAAGAAAACAAAUCACUUUUCUUUGUUCAAUUUUUAAAAAAUCACUUUUUUUAAUUCAAAUAACAUUUUAAUGUGACGACGAUAAAAAAAAUGUGAAUUAAAAUAAGAGUUAAUUUGUGUUUUAUCCAUUCGUGUCUCAUCAUUUAUGCAAAUACAAAAGUAUUAAUUGAACUAAAAUCAUGGCUAAAACCAAGGGAUAACAAUCUAUUAAAUUUACUUUAAAAUUUAAAAAAUGGAUUAAUGGAGUUAAAUAAAACCUGAAUAAUUAAAAAGAAAUUCUAUUAGGAUGUAAUGUGUCACCUUAUAAAUAAAAUUAAAUAUUAAAUAUAAACGCUAAUNUUUCAAAAUUUAAAUUUACAUUUUCUAAUUAUAUGUUAAACUUGAAGUUAUAAUAACUUUAAAAAAUUUGAUAUAUCUCUUAAUUAAUAAUUUAUUUAAAGUGACUUAUUUAAAAUAAUUGAUUAAUAAUUAUAAAUUUUUAUUAUAAAAGUUUAAUUAAUUUUAUAACCGUGGUUCCCACGGGUUAUAAACUAGUACACUAAUAAAUAAAUAAAUAAUUGUCACAUGUCAAUCUCUCAUGAGUUUUGACACUUGUUAUUUUAUGAUAUUUUUGAAUUAAAUAAUAUCCACAUAUCAAGUUUUGUUUUUUUCUUUUUUAAGUUAAAAGGCCAAAUAAUACUUCUAUUUAUAAAUAUGAUGUAUUAAAUAUAAUGAAUGUUAUAUUAAAUUGUAAUAAAUAUUUUUUCCAUACUUAAUUUUAAUUUAAAUCAACUCAUAUAGUAUACGAGUCUUACAUCUAGUAUAUAUAUAUAUAUAUAUAUAUAUAUAUAUAUAUGUAGUAAUAAACAUGUGUGAGUGUGUUAAAUAAUAAAUCGUUAAGUAUAUUAUACGUAUUAAUCACCGAGUUGAUCGGGUUUACAAUACUACUCAAUUCGGUAAGGGGCCGAUCAUAUUAUUUGUGAAACACAUUAUAANUAUAUAUAUAUAUCCGUGAAAACCACGAUUGAAAAAUAAUAACAUUAUUGAUGGGUAGACUCCACAAUUAAAAUAAUUCACAUUAAAUCCAAAUAUUUUGUCCUUGUUACAUGUUCCAACUUCCAAUUAGACCUAGAAAAACAUGACACGACACGAGAACCCGACACAAACCCAACACGAAAUUAGCGGCUUAGGGUCAGAGAUUUCGUCCCGUUUAUGUAAACGAGUUGACACGACACGACAUGAUAAUUAAACAGGUAGGGUUAGGGUCAAGACUUUCAACUCGAAUAUGAUCCGUUUAAUUAUAUAUUAUUUAUUAUAAAUUUCAUAUUUUUAUAAAUAUAUUAUAUGUUAUAGACUUAUAGUGGGUCUAACUUAAAAAUUAGAAGUAAUAUUCAAAUUUUCAAAGUUACUUAAUUUUAAUCAUCCUUACCACUUAUCCCUUUGCUCCCCAACUUUAAAUACUUUCAUUUUUCCUUCUAAACUUACUAUAAAUUUUGUCAUUCCAUCUCAUUACUACAGUGUUUCACUUUUUCCUUUUUGACUCCUCAACUCCUACUUUCCAACCUUUAAAAUAUUUCAACCAACAUGACACAAUAUAUUUACAAGGUCUAAACUUUUACCCGAAACCCAAUGUGAAAAUAAAUGAGUUGACACGGCACUACACGACACGACAAGUCGAUAAUUACCUGGGUCGGUUUAGUGUCAAACUCUUUUAACCCGUUUAAUGUCUUAACACUACACGACACGUUUGUCAAGUGUAGUACACAGAAGAUAUAGAUUGAAUAGCUUGAUAUAGCAUUAAGUAUUCAAAAAUUAAUGAAAUUGAAUUAUGGAAAGUUUCAUAACUAUUUUUUAUAUGAGAAAUUAGACUAUAUUUUUUGUUCACAACUUUUUAUUCUAUCUUAAUUUGAAAAUAGUUUAUGUGUCCAAGAGAAAGGACGUUUACUUUGAGAAAGAUGUAUAAAUGAAACUUAACCAUGACAUAUUCAGAAUUUGAAAUGACAUUGACGUAUGGAAUAAAAACCAAACAAAAGAAAACCAUAGGCAAACACUAUCACGUCCAUACACGUGUACGGUAGAAAUCUCUUCUUUAGUCUAUAAAUAGAACCUCAUGAUCAAACUAAAAGAUCACCAAGCUUUCAGUGAAUUCAAUCAAGAACACAAUCUAGUACUCACCGAAUCAACCUCAAAACCUUCGAAUCAUGUCAAGCGGAAAGUGCAGCUGUGGCUCAAACUGCUCAUGCGGCAGCGGUUGCAACUGCAACUCGUAAUUCUUUUUCCUCUUCUUCUUUUAAGUUUUAACAAAUCAACUAGUUUUUAAUUCUCAAAAUCAUUUCAUUUAUAAUUAUCAAUUUUCUGAUCGACAUGUUCUUAUUUUCUGGCAGAUGCGGCGUUGAGACGUCGACCACCGCCACCAUCAUCGUUGCUGGUGUUGCACCUAAGAUGACGUAUGUAUUUUUACUGCUUUCGAUGCGUACAACAAUUGUAUUAAUUAAUUUAAUUAACUGUUAGUAUUAUUUAAAGUAAUUCAUAGAUUUUAUACAAAAAUUAACUUUGUAAAUAUGCAGAUUUGCUGAGGGAACUGAGACCAGCUUUGUUGCCGAAAGUGGAAACGGGUGCAAGUGUGGAUCAAGCUGCACCUGCGAUCCAUGCAACUGUUAAGCACAAAAUAUAU
Molecule: long non-coding RNA, 26022 nt
Filed under: Lactuca sativa (garden lettuce)
Lineage: Eukaryota; Viridiplantae; Streptophyta; Magnoliopsida; Asterales; Asteraceae
Description: long non-coding RNA (LSAT_LNC006070)
Source: RNAcentral